This 253-nucleotide ribosomal RNA is filed under the name Akkermansia muciniphila ATCC BAA-835. Its description in RNAcentral is "partial 16S ribosomal RNA". It matches the Rfam family "Bacterial small subunit ribosomal RNA", at positions 524 to 776 of the family's 1533-position model. The record is from RNAcentral. Lineage: Bacteria; Pseudomonadati; Verrucomicrobiota; Verrucomicrobiia; Verrucomicrobiales; Akkermansiaceae.
AACGUAGGUCACAAGCGUUGUCCGGAUUUACUGGGUGUAAAGGGCGUGCAGCCGGGCCGACAAGUCAGAUGUGAAAUCCCGAGGCUUAACCUCGGAACUGCAUUUGUGACUGCACGGCUAGAGUUUGUCAGAGGAGGGUGGAAUUCCGCGUGUAGCAGUGAAAUGCGUAGAUAUCGAGAGGAACACUCGUGGCGAAGGCGGGUUCCUGGACAUUAACUGACGCUGAGGCACGAAGGCCAGGGGAGCGAAAGGG